This 396-nucleotide ribosomal RNA is filed under the name uncultured bacterium. RNAcentral describes it as "partial 16S ribosomal RNA". It matches the Rfam family "Bacterial small subunit ribosomal RNA", at positions 523 to 918 of the family's 1533-position model. The record is from RNAcentral.
CUACGUAGGUGGCGAGCGUUGUCCGGAUUUACUGGGUGUAAAGGGCGAGUAGGCGGGAAUUCAAGUCAGAUGUGAAAUACCGAGGCUUAACUUCGGAGCUGCAUUUGAAACUGGAUUUCUUGAGUGAUGGAGAGGCAGGCCGAAUUCCCGGGGUAGCGGUGAAAUGCAUAGAGAUCGAGAUGAACAUCAGUGGCGAAGGCGGCCUGCUGGCCAUUAACUGACGCGUAGGCGCUAAAGUGUGGGGAGCAAACAGGAUUUGAUACCCGGGUAGCCCACAUCGUAAACGAUGGAUACUAGGUGUGGGGGGUUUGACCCCCUCCGUGCCGUAGUUAACACAAUAAGUAUCCCACCUGGGGAGUACGAUCGCAAGAUUGAAACUCAAAUGAAUUGACGUGG